AUUGAACGCUGGCGGCAGGCUUAACACAUGCAAGUCGAGCGGGGUGAUGGUGCUUGCACUAUCACUUAGCGGCGGACGGGUGAGUAAUGCUUAGGAAUCUGCCUAUUAGUGGGGGACAACAUCUCGAAAGGGAUGCUAAUACCGCAUACGUCCUACGGGAGAAAGCAGGGGAUCACUUGUGACCUUGCGCUAAUAGAUGAGCCUAAGUCGGAUUAGCUAGUUGGUGGGGUAAAGGCCUACAAAGGCGACGAUCUGUAGCGGGUCUGAGAGGAUGAUCCGCCACACGGGGACUGAGACACGGCCCAGACUCCUACGGGAGGCAGCAGUGGGGAAUAUGGGACAAUGGGGGGAACCCUGAUCCAGCCAUGCCGCGUGUGUGAAGAAGGCCUUAUGGUUGUAAAGCACUUUAAGCGAGGAGGAGGCUCUUUUGGUUAAUACCCAAGAUGAGUGGACGUUACUCGCAGAAUAAGCACCGGCUAACUCUGUGCCAGCAGCCGCCGUAA
RNAcentral lists this ribosomal RNA (503 nucleotides) under uncultured bacterium. Its description in RNAcentral is "partial 16S ribosomal RNA". It matches the Rfam family "Bacterial small subunit ribosomal RNA", at positions 30 to 523 of the family's 1533-position model. The record is from RNAcentral.